GAACUGCAGGACACAUGAACACCGAUAUACUUGAACGCAUAUUGCGCAUCGUGCGACACAGCUCGAUGUACACAUUUUUGAGU
RNAcentral lists this ribosomal RNA (83 nucleotides) under Anopheles messeae. RNAcentral's name for it is "partial 5.8S ribosomal RNA". Lineage: Eukaryota; Metazoa; Arthropoda; Insecta; Diptera; Culicidae. The record is from RNAcentral.